UAAACAAAAUGGUGUGGCAUACGAAUAUCAGUUGGAAGUCCUAAAUGAAGAAGAAAAUGAAAAAAUUGAAAAACAUGACGAAAAUAACGACUCGAAUGGUAAAAAUAAUGUCACUAUGAGUAACAAAUAUAACGACAAAUCGGAAGAAGAAAUAUUUGAAGAACUAAAAGAGAAUAUAAAAAAUAAUGUGAUAAAAGUGAUACCAAUUGAUAUUAAUAUGUACAUUAACAGAGAAAAACUAAUAAUAGAAAAUGAUUAUGACCAGAUUCAUGUAAUAAAUUUGACAAACAGUGAAAAAGUUCAAAAUAAUAUUUGUGAUCAAAUAAAAGAAAAAGAAAAAAUAAAUGAUUAUUUAUGCUUAACAGAUGAAAAACAAGAGGAUGAAUAUAAUGAUUUAUUUAGCAAAGAUUUUGAUGUUAAUAAAUGUGAUUCUAGUAGUAGUAAUUAUACUUUUACUGGGGGUAACACGUUAGCUAGUGAUGAUAGUGGUACCGUUACCAACGAAAAUAUAAGUUUCAAUAACAUAGAUGAAACUCAGAAAGACUUAUAUUUUAAGUCUAAUUUGUUUAAAAAGUUAAAAAUAUGUGGUCAAUUUAAUAAAGGUUUUAUUAUAUCAAAAAUAGAUUUAUUAUAUUUUAAAAAAGAAGCUAAUAACAUAAACCAACUUGAUGAUAAAAACGGUGAAACAAAAAAAAGCAACUAUGCAUUAUUCAUUAUAGACCAACACGCAGCAGAUGAAAAAUCGAACUUCGAAAAAUAUAACAAAAUAUUUACUAUGAAAUCACAAAAACUGAUAAGUAAAAUAGAUUUAGAAUUAAGUCCUGCACAAAUACAUAUAAUUAAAAAAUAUGAAGGUAUUUUUUUAGCUAAUGGGUUUGAUAUUGAAAUAGUAGAAGAACCAAUAAACAAGAAAAGAAAAAUGAACUAUGAUAAAGAACAUGUUGUUUUUAAUGGCACUAGCUUGGACAACAACUUGGACAACUUGGAAAACAACUGGGACAAAUUGGACAACAACUCGGACAA
This 1023-nucleotide long non-coding RNA is filed under the name Piliocolobus tephrosceles (Ugandan red Colobus). Its description in RNAcentral is "lncRNA (ENSPTEG00000007684.1)". Lineage: Eukaryota; Metazoa; Chordata; Mammalia; Primates; Cercopithecidae. The record is from RNAcentral.